AUUGUGAGUUUUGUGCAAUUAGUUGAGCGGUAUUUCGCAAAUUAGAAAACCAAAGUCGGUUUCCUUCUCAAACCAUCCGAUCCUUUUAUAUUAUUGUCGGUCAAUGAAACCUCAUCACAUUCCUUAAGUCUCUCUCGUGGGUUCUAAAAUCUCAAAACCCAAAAGAGAACCCCAACCCCCGUGAAAAAAAUCCGAAGCCCCAAAACCCAAAUCCCCUGUUUCUCUCUUCUUUCGUUCUCCCCUGCUUCCCUUUCACGGUGUUUCGUCGCUGCUCGGAGUUGCUACUCGUCGGAGCUUUGAUGUCGGCCACCUUCGUGUCUCUCUCUCCUCCGUUCUCUUCCUCUUCGUUGAUGUGCAAGCGGUGUUGUGCGCGUGCCGCCGUGGUGCUGCUGCUGCCGCAUUUGAGGAGUUGUUGUUGUGUUGUUGGUUCUGCUAGUGGUUGUUUUGUUCGGCUGUUGCUGUCGCUGUUGUUGUGGUUGACGGUGCUCGCCGUCAAAGCCUCGAAACCCCCUCCGCUCUCUGUUCUUCGCUGCUAUCUUAGCAGAGAUAAAGGCUAAUUCUCUGUUUUCCUGUUCAAAUUCUAAUUUCAAGAUUUGUAAAUUAAUCCCAAGUUGUUGUUGUUUGUUGUUAUUGUUGUUGCGUUGUCGUUGUACUUAUUAUUGGUUGUUAUUCUGUUGUUGGUGGUGGAGGUGUUGGUGUUGUUGCUGUUAUUAUUAUUGGUGUGGUGAUGCGUUGUUGUAGUGGUGUUGUUGUGGUUGAUGUUGUGUGGUUAGAGUUGAUAUAUUUGAAGAUAAGUGUAGAAAUUAUAAAAUUAGUUAGUUUCUAUUUGCGGGAUUUAGUUUAAUUACCAUAGUGGUUAUAUUAAGAGAAGUUAAUUAGCUUAGUUAAGAUUGGUUAUUAAUUAUUGUUAUUGUUGUGAGGUAAAUUAUUGUGGAGUUCAAGUUAGAAUUGGCGAUCAAUUGCCCAUGAUUAUUCUUGGUGGUGAAUUACUAAGGAAUCGGUGAUGCGUAUAAGGUUUGGUGUUGUGAGCUCGAAAUUGGAAGUGAAGCAAGGUUAUAAUGUUGUCGAAGAUUAUGGAUUGAGUUUGUAUCUAGAUAGUUGAUUUGAGAAUAGUUAUUUAUAUUUCAUUGUAUAUAAUAUUUGGGAAUAUUAGUCGAGUUAUUUGUGUAUUUAAGGAUAUUUUUCCGCUGUGAAGUAAUUUAUUUAAGAGUAUGUUAAUUUUAGUUUA
This is a long non-coding RNA of Beta vulgaris subsp. vulgaris (sugar beet), 1228 nucleotides long. RefSeq lists it as uncharacterized. NCBI's taxonomy places the organism in Eukaryota, Viridiplantae, Streptophyta, Magnoliopsida, Caryophyllales, Amaranthaceae. The transcript is spliced from 2 exons. The record is from RefSeq and is a predicted model, not a curated record.